UACGUAGGGGGCUAGCGUUGUCCGGAAUCAUUGGGCGUAAAGGGCUCGUAGGCGGCCAACUAAGUCAGACGUGAAAUCCCUCGGCUUAACCGGGGAACUGCGUCUGAUACUGGAUGGCUUGAGUUCGGGAGAGGGAUGCGGAAUUCCAGGUGUAGCGGUGAAAUGCGUAGAUAUCUGGAGGAACACCGGUGGCGAAGGCGGCAUCCUGGACCGACACUGACGCUGAGGAGCGAAAGCCAGGGGAGCAAACGGG
RNAcentral lists this ribosomal RNA (253 nucleotides) under uncultured bacterium. Its description in RNAcentral is "partial 16S ribosomal RNA". It matches the Rfam family "Bacterial small subunit ribosomal RNA", at positions 524 to 776 of the family's 1533-position model. The record is from RNAcentral.